RNAcentral lists this ribosomal RNA (370 nucleotides) under uncultured bacterium. RNAcentral describes it as "bacterial SSU rRNA". It matches the Rfam family "Bacterial small subunit ribosomal RNA", at positions 30 to 412 of the family's 1533-position model. The record is from RNAcentral.
AAUCAACGCUGGCGGCGCGCUUAACACAUGCAAGUCGAACGAGAAAGGGGAGCAAUCCCUGAGUAAAGUGGCGUACGGGUGAGUAACACGUGGAUGAUCUACCUCUUGGCGGGGAAUACCUCUGGGAAACCGGAGACAAUACCGCAUAAGCUCGGAAGAGGAAACCUGAAAAGGGCCGAGAGAGGAGUCCGCGGCCGAUUAGCUAGUUGGUAGGGUAAAGCCUACCAAGGCAAAGAUCGGUAGCCGGCCNGAGAGGGCACACGGCCACACUGGCACUGAAACACGGGCCAGACUCCUACGGGAGGCAGCAGGUGGGGAAUCUUGCACAAGUGGGGCAACCCUGAUGCAGCGACGCCGCGUGAGCGAUGAA